GAUUCCCUUAGUAACGGCGAGUGAAGUGGGAAGUGCUCAAAUUUAAAAUCUCAUUAGAGAAUUGUAAUUUAUAGAACAUUUUGUAUGGAAAUAAGGAUUAAAGUCUGCUGGAAAGCAUGCGCUAGAAAGGGUGAUAGCCCCGUUCAAUCCAUUAUAACCUAAUUAACAUAUGUUUCAAAGAGUCAGAUUGCUUGGGAAUGCAGUCUAAAUUUGGUGGUAAACUCCAUCUAAAGCUAAAUAUUGAUCAGUGACCGAUAGCAAACAAGUACCGUGAGGGAAAGAUGAAAAGAACCUUGAAAAGGGGGUUAAAAGUACGUGAAAUUGUUAUUAGGAAAGCACUUGGCGUUAUUGUGGAUUAGAUGAGUCUGUUUCGGCAGAUACUGAUCUAAUUAGUCAUGAUCAGUUAAUGAUAGUAAAAAAAUUAAAUUGCAAGGUAGUCGGGUAAACCAACACUUAUAGGCUUUUUAGUUUUACUGUUAUUGACUGAGGAACGCUUUUUAAAAUUAUAUGGUGUUAAGGUUUUUGAAAGUAAUGUUAAGCCAACAUGUUGAUUAAUAUUAUUGAUUGAUCUUUAUAUUAUAUAAUUUAAAAGAAGGAUCAUGAUUAAAUAAUACCAAAUGACCCGUCUUGAAACACGGACCAAGGAGUCUAACAUGGUUGCGAGUUACAGGGUGAAAAACCUUUGAGCGCAAUGAAAGUGAAAAAGAUAGGAUAAAUUUUGCACUAUCAACCUAACCUGAUGAUAUUUCUGACGGUUUAGAGUUAGAGCAAUUAUGUUGGGACCCGAAAGAUGGUGAGCUAUGCUUGAAUAGGGCAAAGCCAGAGGAAACUCUGGUGGAGGCUCGUAGCGAUUCUGACGUGCAAAUCGAUCGUCAAAUUUGAGCAUAGGGGCGAAAGACUAAUCGAACCUUCUAAUGGCUGGUUCCUGCCGAAGUUUCCCUCAGGAUAGCAGAAAUUUUUUAAUAGUUUUAUGAGGUAAAGCGAAUGAUUAGAGGAAUGGGGGAUGAAACAUCCUUCACCUAUUCUCAAACUUUGAAUCUGUAAGUUGCUUCAGGUUACUUAAUGAACCUAAGCUGAAU
RNAcentral lists this ribosomal RNA (1079 nucleotides) under Conidiobolus firmipilleus. Its description in RNAcentral is "eukaryotic LSU rRNA". It matches the Rfam family "Eukaryotic large subunit ribosomal RNA", at positions 73 to 1111 of the family's 3401-position model. The record is from RNAcentral. Lineage: Eukaryota; Fungi; Entomophthoromycota; Entomophthoromycetes; Entomophthorales; Conidiobolaceae.